UUCUGGUUAGUUUAGUGGCUAUGACGGCGCCUUGUCAUGAUGGUUGGUCAUGCCUGACGCUCGGCGCAGACCCGGGUUCAAUUCCCGGACCGGAAG
This 96-nucleotide transfer RNA is filed under the name Violaceomyces palustris. RNAcentral describes it as "tRNA-Asp". It matches the Rfam family "tRNA". Rfam says of the family: Transfer RNA (tRNA) molecules are approximately 80 nucleotides in length. Their secondary structure includes four short double-helical elements and three loops (D, anti-codon, and T loops). Further hydrogen bonds mediate the characteristic L-shaped molecular structure. tRNAs have two regions of fundamental functional importance: the anti-codon, which is responsible for specific mRNA codon recognition, and the 3' end, to which the tRNAs corresponding amino acid is attached (by aminoacyl-tRNA synthetases). tRNAs cope with the degeneracy of the genetic code in two manners: having more than one tRNA (with a specific anti-codon) for a particular amino acid; and 'wobble' base-pairing, i.e. permitting non-standard base-pairing at the 3rd anti-codon position. The record is from RNAcentral. Lineage: Eukaryota; Fungi; Basidiomycota; Ustilaginomycetes; Violaceomycetales; Violaceomycetaceae.